CAUCACCCCCCUCACGGGUACCAGCCCGACCCCUUUCUACUCGAACUCCUCUCCCACUGCGACAGUCACCGGGUGCUUUAGAAGCAGCGAGCUCUCUUCUUGAAUCUCUGCCAAUGAAGGCUGAAAGUUUUACAAGCGCUCUGCUUGGACGGCAGGAAGCCGAAGUGAGGGAUCUGUAACAGCAGCACUCGCAACAGCGGCAUCUGUGUCGUGUCGAUUCUCUAAUCGAUUCUCGUCGACAAACACGAUCAGAUAUCCAUAAUGCUUUUUCUUGGGGGGAUUCACGAAGCAGAUGGGGAGAAAAUGUGAUGACGGUGGGAUAUAAAUCAGAAAAUAACAAAAGAAGGAAAAGGGGUCUUGUUGACGUCACGCUUUGGGCUGCCCAUCGCAAUGCCUGAACUGAGACGACAGGACUGUCUCUGUCUUCCUGUCGUUCUUCAUCACGCUUUGAAUCGAUCUUCGGCCAGGUGAUGUUGGAUUGUUACGUUCGACUACGCUGUGGACGGCGGUCUGACUGGAACCUGUCUUCUCUGGAACGUAGUCUUCUCUUGCGAUCUUAACCUUCUCAGUUUGUCUCUCUCAGAUCGUUUGUUCCCUUCAGUUCAGCAAGAUCUCUUUAAAAAAAGGAUUUGAAUAAAUAACUAGUCUUUAGGUUCCUUAUGUGAAUCUAAUAUACCCACAUCGCAAAUACCCAAAAGGUGGCACGCUACUGUGCAGGAAGUGUAAAUAUGGUCAAAUAUAAUGCAAACAGGCAACCACAGGACAGCUAAAGAUGCUGCGAUAAAUAGUUUCAAAGAGGAAUUGAGAUGCAUGGGCCAAAUGCCAAAUGCUGACACAAAAGAGCCUUGAACUUCACAGCCUUUAAGGACGCAUCUCAAAUCUCUGACAUUAUCUGGUAAAUCUGGCGACGCUGAUGGCGAUUGAGACCGUGAGUAGAGACAGAUGACAGUUGUGUAUAUAUAUUUGCUUUGUUCACGACUCUCGUCGAGCAACAACACGCUCUUGAAGGAUACGCUGUGAUUUGUUCAUUUCACUCCUUUUGGACGACUUCCAUUUCCCGCCCUCAGACCCGAGCCAGGUGACGGCAUUUAGCGUUUCUGCCAACACCCAAAGAGGUUUGAAACAUGGAAAAUUGACUAGAAACCUUACGACGAAACAAAAUGACUCAGUGAGAGACACUGAACCGAGCCGGGUGAGCUUAAAGAUAGCCUGGUGAAGUUAAUGCUUUGUUUACUUUUCUCAUGCUGUUGCGACCUCUCUCUCUCUCUUUUUCUCUCUCUCUCUCUCCGUGCCUGUUCUCUUGGCAGCAGGAGUAAAGUAGGCAGGCGUAUGAGGGCAUAGCUGAAUUUGCUGGCAGGGGGCUCAAGCUUCAGCUUUUGCGUGAAAAGGGUUCGUUGCGCACCUUUUUGUGCUUUAACCUUGUCUUGCACCACAUGAAAUGGUCUCGGUUUUCCUUCAUUUUUCCAGUGUUUCUGGAGUCUCGCACCUUGGAAGUCAUCCAUCAGGUAUAUCCAACAUUUAAUUCUGUUUAAAUCCUCAACUUUAUUUCUUUGUUUUGCUUUGGAAUGACAACGUUUUCUUCUUCGCUCCUCAUCCUCCUCUUCCUCGUGCAUGCACGUGUCUGCCGCCAUGCUUGUUACAAUCCGAUACGCUUCACUUUUAUCAAAUACAAUUUAUCAGGACAAAACUGCGCUGGAAUUGUUUGGAUGCCACAAGUUUUUGUUUGCAUUGUUUGUUUGUUUUGCACUCGUGGUCGUCGCUGGUUUUUAUAUGCAACUUCCUUGCACAAAUCACUCUUCGGAGGCUGUACAAACAUGCAGUUUUGACUAUAUAGUAACACUGUAUUGUUGUUAAGACCAUUAAAGGUAAAAUACACAAAAUGAGGUUUACCCAAGAGAAGAAAUAACUACAAUCUCAGUGGAAGCAUUGCAAAAAGCUUCAUAGUGGCUCUUUGUUAGUUUUUGGGUGACUGUUAAAUGGUUAACCACAGAUAGCUUUAUUCUUCCUCAUUAUUUGACAUGUUUAAAGAAACUAAACAGACUGAUACAUAAAUCGAUCAAUCAGUAUCUAUAUAUGGAUUUCGAAUAUGUGUUUAUCCAUUAUUAUUAGCUUACAUUAAUAAUAAACAUAGCAGAAUUUCUGCCGUGGACACAAUGAUAUCCCAGCAUGCUUUGUGUACCAAAACGUCUCUGAUCAUCCAUAGAGAGACUUUAUAUUAUGUUUCCUGAUAAAAGCCAUCUGCAUUAUCGUUAUUUAUCACAUUUAGAUAACAAACCAAUCUGUUAUCUGUACGAAAACAAACGAUAGACGAGAUCUGCAUGCAUUGCUGUGAAGCAAAAACAAAAUUGGAGGGAGAGAAAGCGACAAGACGGUGGGUGGGGUGAUACACAAAAAAAGGAAAAGAAAGAACGAAAAAAACUUCCUCAACUCCUCCCUCUCUAUCCUCAGAUGAACUCAUCACGUUACUUCAGUUUUUUCUGCCUUCUCUACUUCCUGCUAUUUUUGAACGCCCUCCCAUUCUCUCUCUUUCUCUCUCUCUCUCUUUCUUUCUGUGGUAACCAGGAACAAAGUCACAGAGCUUUUAUCGGGAAACGUAUUUCAGUCAUCACCUUCAAUUACAAAGCAGUAAGACCAUAAACAACAUCACAGUAUGGAAAACAACCCGAGACUCGGAUAUCCAGCUGUUGUUCGCCUGUGCCUGACACAAACCAGUCUGGAGUAACAAAGCAACUAAACUCCUGGUAUGUUUGUCGCUGUCCCUGAAGUUGAGGUAGUAGAUUGAAUAGUUGUGGAGUGUGAAAUCUCCCUUUGAGAUAACUAUACAAUCUACUGUCUUUCUGAAGGAGACAGAUUUAACAACUGUCCACCAAAGAAACGGACUACGUGCACGUACGCUUCUUCAACAAGACACAUCUGAAACUGUGUUACUGUGAAGUGAAACUGGAGGUCAGUGUGCAUCACAAGAUGAGGUAGUAGGUUGUAUAGUUGGACGGAUCGAAUCCUGUUCAGGUGAUAACUAUACAGUCUAUUGCCUUCCUUUGAGAGACACGAUGAGCAGCCAAAGAAAAAAGUUAACUUUCAAAAAAACACCAAAUGUAUUCAAAAAUUAUUCAUAAUUAUUAAAAUGACAUUGUUUCUGUGGUUGACACGGGCCUACUUUUUUUAGCGCUGUGUUUUAACAAAUAAAAUAUUUUUUCAUUCAUAAAGUGAGUCUGUCUUAUGCUGAUUUAUUAUUAAAACAGGGAUUUUGCAUAUCGAA
This is a non-coding RNA of Misgurnus anguillicaudatus (oriental weatherfish), 3259 nucleotides long. The record is from RefSeq and is a predicted model, not a curated record. NCBI's taxonomy places the organism in Eukaryota, Metazoa, Chordata, Actinopteri, Cypriniformes, Cobitidae.